UACAGAGGGUGCGAGCGUUGUUCGGAAUUAUUGGGCGUAAAGGGCGCGUAGGCGGUUGGGUAAGUCACCUGUGAAAUCUCCUGGCUCAACUGGGAGCUUGCAGGCGAAACUGCUUGACUGGAGUAUGGGAGAGGUGCGUGGAAUUCCCGGUGUAGCGGUGAAAUGCGUAGAUAUCAGGAGGAACACCGAUGGCGAAGGCGGCCAGCUAGACCAGUUCUGACACUGAGGCGCGACAGCGUGGGGAGCAAACAGG
This 253-nucleotide ribosomal RNA is filed under the name uncultured bacterium. RNAcentral's name for it is "partial 16S ribosomal RNA". It matches the Rfam family "Bacterial small subunit ribosomal RNA", at positions 524 to 776 of the family's 1533-position model. The record is from RNAcentral.